GGAGCAAAUUGAUGAGUCUCUACUGACACCUAUUGACUCUAACUAGGAACUUACCCUUGAAAAUACAAGCAAUGUCAAGGUUUCGCUAGAAACCUUGAGGCAGAAUGUUGAACACUAGAUGGAACUAUUGUAUCAUUAUUAUACAUAGAAAAACCUUGUCACUGGACUUCAUAACUGUGGAGGGCAGUCUAUUGGAGGAGGACAGACAAAGAUGAUCUGUCAUAUAACUGAUCAGGAGGCAUAGAGAACAUCUCGGUGGUUGUGGCUGAAUAGUGAGAAGCAGUGGACGAGCCACCUGCCACACUUGGGCUUGAUCAACCCAUCCUUCAGAAGGGGUAGUGGGCAGCACAUGUAGGAUAAGUAGUACCUCACCUGAAGAUCAGCCAGGAGCUGCAGAAAUGGCUCUUUGUGGGGCAAUUGAACUUAUUCCAGAGGCUGCUCCAAAACACCGCCGGCGGAGAAGAGGUAUUCAGAGUGGACUUCUAGUCCGACUCAGGAGGCCUGCACACCAUCCACCACAUCCGAGUAUAUUACUCGCUAAGGUUCAGUGUCUGGAUAACAAAGUAGACGAGCUCAGGGCGAGGAUCUCCUUCCAG
This 596-nucleotide long non-coding RNA is filed under the name Salmo salar (Atlantic salmon). RNAcentral's name for it is "lncRNA (ENSSSAG00000108294.1)". The record is from RNAcentral. Lineage: Eukaryota; Metazoa; Chordata; Actinopteri; Salmoniformes; Salmonidae.